AGGUGGCAUAGGAUUGGCAAUUGUCAGAAAUCUUGCACAGCGUGGAUGUAGUAUAGUGAUACAUGGCAGCAGAGAGGCCGACAACGUUGAAGAUAUAGAGAGGACUUACAGAGUCAAUACGAAGUUCCUGUUCAUUAUUUCCGUGCUGACUUUGAUAAAAUGAAUGAAGUAGAAGGACUCUAUAAUAAAAUUAAAGACAUUUACUCUGAUGGUAUUGAUAUCCUUGUUCACAACGUUGGAAGUGCUCCAGGUGGAAUAACGGAAAAUAUUGGAAUUGUGAUAUGGGAGAAGAUGUUGCGUAUUAAUUUGACAUCAGCAUUUUACUUGACGAGUUUAUCAUUGCCAGGAAUGAAAAUAAAAGAACAUGGUCACAAGAAGCCUAAAUCCUUCUGGAAAAGCACUGGACGUCAAUAAGAUAGGCGAAGUUGCAGCUUUUCUGUGUUCUUCUUCUGCUGACGAGAUAACAGGAGUUAUGUUACCAGUAGACUGGGCUUCAACGGCGAGAUAACACAACUACUGUCGUUAUAAUCUGAGCACUUUUCAGAGUACAGAAGCAGAACAUGCUAUACAAAUAAUGUACUUGAUAAUUAAAACGUUUUUAAAAAACUUUAUUAAGACAAAUAUGGUAAUUAUAUUACUAAGGAGGGGAUUAUGUUACGCACGCACGCACGUCAUGAGUUGAUAUGAGACAUUAUUCGAAUGAAUUAACUUAUUCCAAACACUUUAUUUGAUCAUGUAUUGUACUUAUUGAC
This is a long non-coding RNA of Saccoglossus kowalevskii, 752 nucleotides long. The record is from RefSeq and is a predicted model, not a curated record. Lineage: Eukaryota; Metazoa; Hemichordata; Enteropneusta; Harrimaniidae.